Molecule: ribosomal RNA, 199 nt
Filed under: uncultured bacterium
Lineage: Bacteria
Description: partial 16S ribosomal RNA
Rfam family: Bacterial small subunit ribosomal RNA
Source: RNAcentral
ACGCUCGACACCUAUGGGAGGCAGCAGUGGGGAAUAUUGCACAAUGGGGGAAACCCUGAUGCAGCGACGCCGCGUGGAGGAAGAAGGUCUUCGGAUUGUAAACUCCUGUUGUUGGGGAAAAAAGAGGAUGGUACCCAACAAGGAAGUGACGGCUAACUACGUGCCAACAGCCGCGGUAAUCUGAGCGGGCUGGCAAGGC